CUAGAGACGGCGUACAUAUCUUGCCUUUGGCAUUUCCCUGGACGUUAGCUUUGACCCGAGAGGGUAGCGACUAAGUACUAGGACCGGCAGGCGUUGAGUUCCCUGAUCAGGAAACGCGGCCGGU
This 124-nucleotide non-coding RNA is filed under the name unclassified sequences. RNAcentral's name for it is "Flavobacterium-1 RNA". It matches the Rfam family "Flavobacterium-1 RNA". The record is from Rfam by way of RNAcentral.